RNAcentral lists this long non-coding RNA (584 nucleotides) under Panax ginseng (ginseng). Its description in RNAcentral is "long non-coding RNA (PGIN_LNC014004)". Lineage: Eukaryota; Viridiplantae; Streptophyta; Magnoliopsida; Apiales; Araliaceae. The record is from RNAcentral.
AGUAGUAGCAUCGGUUAGUUUUAUUGCUUUUAGUCUGUAUCUUUGCUUGUUUAUCAAACCGCGGUUAUAAAAUAAUGGACUUACUUGAGAUUCAUCAGGAACAAUAAAUGUAUUCGAAAGAGACAAUAAUACUAUUCAGUGAAUCAAUUCAACCAUAACACUCGAAUAAUUUGAACAAUCCAAAAACAAUAAAAUCACUCCCCCUAACCCAAAGAAUAAGUAUCUAAUAUCAAUUACAGCAAGACGAAUCACAAAAUUAAAAAAAAAAUCCACUCAAAUCCCCCUGACCCCAAGAAUAUUUCUUACAAAACAACAUAAAAGGCUUAAUCAACUAGUAAUAGUACUUGAACAAUGUAGCUCCUAGUACAGCUAGGAGAAAUGAUGGCGAAAAACUGUAAGAGGGAUUGGCAGCAGAUGGGUUCACUACUGGUCGACUCCCUGAAUUUGUAGUUGGAGCAUCGGAACUCACUGUUGACGGUGGAGUCAAUGCAGGAGUUGCAUCAGAUUCCGGUGUCAAAGCAUUAGUAGCAGGUGACACUGCUUCAGGAACACUAGAAGCUGCUAAUCAUAAGAGGGAGGGGNNN